RNAcentral lists this ribosomal RNA (260 nucleotides) under uncultured bacterium. Its description in RNAcentral is "partial 16S ribosomal RNA". It matches the Rfam family "Bacterial small subunit ribosomal RNA", at positions 28 to 285 of the family's 1533-position model. The record is from RNAcentral.
GAUGAACGCUAGCGGCAGGCUUAAUACAUGCAAGUCGAACGGUAAGUUUGGUAGCAAUAUCAAACCAAGAGUGACGUACGGGUGCGUAACACGUAUGCAACCUACCUUGUACAGGAGUAUAGCUCGGGGAAACUCGAAUUAACCCUCCAUGAGAUCAUAGAAUGGCAUCAUUUAGUGAUUAAAACUCAGGUGGUACAAGAUGGGCAUGCGUCUGAUUAGUUAGUUGGCGGGGUAAUGGCCCACCAAGACGAUGAUCAGUA